UCCCUGGUGGCUCAGUUGGUAAAGAAUCCACCUGCAAUGUGGGAGAUCUGGGUUCUAUUCCUGGGUUGGGAA
RNAcentral lists this transfer RNA (72 nucleotides) under Ovis aries (sheep). It matches the Rfam family "tRNA". From Rfam's summary of the family: Transfer RNA (tRNA) molecules are approximately 80 nucleotides in length. Their secondary structure includes four short double-helical elements and three loops (D, anti-codon, and T loops). The record is from Rfam by way of RNAcentral. Lineage: Eukaryota; Metazoa; Chordata; Mammalia; Artiodactyla; Bovidae.